AUUUGUUUUAUUGCGCGUCGCCUCCGAAGUAGCUCUGUCCCGAGACGGCCAGGGCGCGCUUGGGUCUGAUUCGCUAUCGUGAAAAGCGGAAGUGUCGAAUCCCCACCGAGGACAAAAACAACACUGCAAUCACGGAACCAUAAAGUAAAACCACUCACCUCCCCCCAAGCCGCGCCCGGAUCGACGGCCGCAGUCAGAACGCGAUGGCCAAAGCUGACUCAAUCCAGAAUGGAAUCAAAACAGACACAACAGACGAUGUUGAAAAAUCACUGGAACUGCUCGACAAAGUGCUGUCCGAGUUCGAGGAAGAGCAAGAGGUAAUACACGCCCCCGUGGAGCCGGAUAGUCCCUCCCAGGGCCACCAGUCCGAGGACGAUGGUUACAUGAGCAUGAAUGGCCGGAGGGCAAAAUUCGUACCUGAUUUUCAACCGACUGACGAGGCAAAUGCACCCUCACUUCCACAUCCGGUGCCACCGGACGGCAAGUACUCACCUCCAUCGCCCGAGGAAGCAGAACGAAUUAUUUCCAAUUUGCUACCAAGGAUAUCCCCAACCACAUCACCCAGUCGAAGGACCAACAGUACCACCAGUAGCAGUAGCAACAAUCGGAGCCCGGUCCAUCACAGCAGCGGCAUCAUCAGCCAUCCACACAGCCACAGUCACAGUGAGUGGCGGACGAGAAAUCUGGUGCGAAACUCCGACUCGAUUAGUAGUUCGACGACGACGAGCGACAAACCCUCCUCCAAUGACAACACGGUCAUUGUCAAGAGUCCAACCCAGACGACACUGCCAAAAACUCGUCCCUCCAAUGUUUUACCCACACGAUACGCAAGUCUUCCAUGCUCCAGCCCGCCCAAACAGACCGGCCCGAGCGAACCAAGUGGAGGCAGUCUGGACGACGGUCGGAACAAACUCGGCGGAAUCGGAAUCAGCGCGGUGCAUGAUGCCGUCCUGCGGGGGAUGACGCGACUGCCAGAACCUAUAGUGAACGAGCAUCCCGUCACAAUUUACCCCGGUAGAGCGUCGCCACCGCGGCGGGCGUCCCGAAAUCUACAGAGCUCAAUCGAGCGCCACAGGGACCUCUAUCGAAAAGGUGCCUACAACUCGGACAACUCGUCAUCGCAGGAGAAUUCGUCACCGGAAAAUAACGAAUUCGAAAACAACUCGUCCCUUUCGCCCUCGCAUGGCGUCCAGCUGAACAUCAACUACAAUAAUAAUCUAAUCAGCAAUCGGAUAUUUGCUGCCAGCGCAGACUACACCCGACAGCGGACGGCACACGACGACAGCGAUGAGGAACGGUUCUCCGAUGAUUCACUGGAGGAAUCGUCUCUUCCGCCACCGCCGGGGCCACCGACGGUUCCUCCUCCUCCGUCGUUGUCGGCCCCGGUAACCCCCAGCAAACGGCACAGCAUUGCGUGGGAGGUCAACCUGGACGAUCCGGCUAGUUUCGAAGAUCCGCUGGCGAUGCCUAAGGUUUCGGCGUGCAGUAAGGUUAUUGGCAGGCGAAAAGGAACCAAGAACGUCAACGAUUCGCAAUCAAGUUUAGAAUCGACGCCCAGCAAUAGGAAAAGUGAAUCCAACAACGAGUGGCCCGAUCCGCCCGACAUUCCCAUAUGCAGCACCGAGGACGAAGCCGCUUCCCUGUAUUCCGACUCCGACGAUGUCAUACCGCAAGUACCGGACAUUUCCGGCCGUGGGACGUACGUCAUCCGGAAGGGUCGGCGGAGACAGCGGCUGGAAAGCUUGGAUUCGAACGCCAGCAAUAACCUUCCGAUUCCGAGCAGCGAACCUCCGCCUCCGGUCCUACCGAGUCCCAUCUUCCCUGCCUCCAUGCUGCUGCCCAAGUCGAGGCACAGCAUUGAUUUGGGCCUGACGUCGUCCGGUUGCAGUGCCGUAAUCAAGACCUCACACUCCGCCCCUCAGAAACUACCCAACUCAGUUCUCUCGCCCAGGUCACGACUAUCAUUAGAUUUAAGUUCACCUACCUCAGAGCUUUCAACAAACGUAAAGAAAAUCACAACCCCUACCGGAAGCUUCCCGGCGCACCUGCAGCCUCAGCAACAACAGCAACCCUCACAGCUCCACAACAAUAAUAACAAUAACAGCCUGAGCAAAUCGAAAUCCAACAGCAACAAUAAUCUUAGCACGGCCUGUGUAAACAAUAACAGCAUUACCGUCGUUGGUGGCGCAGCUCCGGUCCUGAUUGGAAAUGGCUCCCAGAGUGGGUCACAGCCGAUAGUCUCAUCGCGGUACACCGAGUUCAAAACGUACAGUUCGACCUUCGAUGCCCUGCAGGCGCUGGAGAGUGCCAACAACAACAGCAUGACACGCGGCGGAGGCACCACCGGAAAUGGAACGGCCACCGUCGUACCCGUUGUCCCCGAUAACGACAGCGCGAUAAUACGGGUUUCCUCGCUGCCGGCCGUCACACCGCCUCAACACCCAGGCUCCGCAACAGCCGAAGGUCUUUCGACGCCACGCCGUGAGCUCGCCCCGCCAAUCGAGGAGGACGAGGAAGUGGACAGUGACACCCAGCGGGGUGCCCCGUUACGCAAAAUAGAGGAUAAUAUUAGUGCUUUAUUACGUGGUGAUAUAUCUGUUGCUAGAGUAGCCGACAUACCUCCCGCGAGACGUCCAUUAGGUUUUCGCCUAGGUGUUCAUAAAUCAGAAAGUGCCAAAGAAAUGCUUUUAUCGCAAGCUGGAUUGGGGCCUUUGCCACCGUCACCGCCGUCAUCUAGUCCCGAACCGGACAGUGACGAAUUUCCUCCGCUGCCUCCCUCGCCUACCGAGGAACCCGAAGUUAUCCACCAGCUGCACGGCAUACGCAUCAGCUCACGCAAUAGGUCCAACAGUACCAAACACGAAGGUCACUUCCGGGACGAGCAGGCACCGGCCGUUCCGCCCCAUCGUGGCCCGUCGAUCAAUACGCUUAAAACGAGAUCAAUGGAUGCCGGAUUUAGUAAAUCCUACCGCAAUGGUUCGCACGCUUCAACGUCACCUCACGCCCCCGGAACGCUUCCUCCCGAUUUGCCCGGAUGCAACUCGCGACGAAGAGUCAUCACUGGAGGCUACCAGAAGCGUACCGCUCAGAGUCCCCGCGAGGAGAGAUCCCUGCAGACGUCUUGCAGUUUACCAGAAACGCCCAUCUUUGCUCGAGGCAGCUGUGAUAUUCCACGGACGCCCCACCGACGAGCGCCGGAAAUACCGCCUCAUGGCAGCGGAAGCCGAACGGCUCCCCGCACCAACACCAACACGACCAGCAGCCUUGGGUCGUCGGUGGUUGGCAUCGGUACCUCAACCAUCGGUGGCCGACAGCGGAGCAUCAGCCAAGCUUUCGCCAACGGUGAAAUGCUACGCUUAGCGGGCGGUCCAGCCCGCGGUUGGUAUCCGAAGCAGCGGCAACCGCGGCCGGCGUCGACCGAGCACCUGGACCGGCUGCAUCCGCAGGGAUCCCUGCGCGCCUGGGAAGCGGGUACGGGUAGCAGAAAACCGCUCACCCUACCACCUAAUCUCACACCUAAAUUUUUCAACAAGUCACCGCGAGAGGCGUUGCGUCGUGUUACUAGUUUGUUAAUUCGAAAAGGAAAUUCCGGCACCAAGGAUAAGGAAUCGCGCAAGGACAAAGACCGAGGCGAUAAAGAGGCCUACUCGUCGUCGUCCACUUUUCUUCAACGGUCACCGGGAUCCGACGUAACCGACUCUCGAGGCUAUCAUCACUCUCUUCAUUACCAACAGCAGCAGCAACAGCAACAACAACAACAACAACAUCACCAUCACCAACCCCAGCAUCAGCAUUCAUCGCAGCAUACUACGCCAACAACGCAGAAAAAGAAGGGUUUCUUUAAAAGUUUUUGGAAAAAAUCACGUCACUAUUCGCUAGAAAAGCAGUAAGCCGUGCCACAUCCAAGCCGUAACGGCAUGGAGACGCCCGGUUGGUAACUUUUGCUAGGCUAGUGGAACGAAAAACAAACACAGAUAUUUAUACGCACUGUAUUUGCGGCGGGUGGAAGUACUUUAACCAAAACUCUAACAAACAGCAAUCUCUUAUCUAUUGGCCUAACCAAAAAAAAAGAAAACAAAAAUAAAACACUGAAACAGAAGUUAAACAAACAAACGCACGAGCGGGA
Aedes albopictus (Asian tiger mosquito) is the source of this 4126-nucleotide RNA transcript. It is a transcript of the gene named mucin-2, with no coding region annotated. Lineage: Eukaryota; Metazoa; Arthropoda; Insecta; Diptera; Culicidae. The record is from RefSeq and is a predicted model, not a curated record. The transcript has 17 exons.